This 497-nucleotide ribosomal RNA is filed under the name uncultured bacterium. Its description in RNAcentral is "partial 16S ribosomal RNA". It matches the Rfam family "Bacterial small subunit ribosomal RNA", at positions 28 to 507 of the family's 1533-position model. The record is from RNAcentral.
GAUGAACGCUGGCGGCGUGCCUAAUACAUGCAAGUCGAGCGAACGGACGAGAAGCUUGCUUCUCUGAUGUUAGCGGCGGACGGGUGAGUAACACGUGGAUAACCUACCUAUAAGACUGGGAUAACUUCGGGAAACCGUAGCUAAUACCGGAUAAUAUUUUGAACCGCAUGGUUCAAAAGUGAAAGACGGUCUUGCUGUCACUUAUAGAUGGAUCCGCGCUGCAUUAGCUAGUUGGUAAGGUAACGGCUUACCAAGGCAACGAUGCAUAGCCGACCUGAGAGGGUGAUCGGCCACACUGGAACUGAGACACGGUCCAGACUCCUACGGGAGGCAGCAGUAGGGAAUCUUCCGCAAAGGGCGAAAGCCUGACGGAGCAACGCCGCGUGAGUGAUGAAGGCCUUCGGAUCGUAAAACUCUGUUAUUAGGGAAGAACAUAUGUGUAAGUAACUGUGCACAUCUUGACGGUACCUAAUCAGAAAGCCACGGCUAACUACGUG